CACAAUUCCUCUAAAAUAUAUGUUGUUUUUCUGCCUUUGGUGAAAUUGUGUUCAUUUAAAAAUUUCAUUAAAAAAUAAAGUUUUUAUUUUCUAAUUUUGAAGAUAAUCAUGCCCAUUGCAGGAAAUUUACAAGAAGAAAAAAUACAAAAUUAACAUUGCAUAUAAUCACAUCACCCAGAGCGAAACCAUAAUUAAUGUUUUGCCAGUUUUUCUUCACAUUUCUCCAUGUAUACAUUGUAUAUACAUUACAUGUUUUGUAUAUGUAUACUUUAUAUUACAUAUAAGCCUGAAUUUAUACUACACAUAAAAUUUUGCUUAAUAUAAAAGUAUUUUCCAUACAUUAACCCAGCCUUUAUGGCUAUUAUAUCUAAUGGUUACAUAACAUUUUAUUACUUGAUUUAUUGUAGUUAGUUCCUUCUUGUUGGGCAUUGGUGGUGUUUUCAAUUUUUUUUAGUCAGAUUAGCCUGAAGAGGAAUCUUUUCUAAAAAAUACUUAAAAGGAAAGAUUGAUUUUUGUAUUUAAUAAGUUAAUCAUUGAUAGAUUAAAUAUUUUAUAUCAGAGUUUUUCAUUUUAACUGCAUUUAGAACAACAAAUUG
RNAcentral lists this long non-coding RNA (596 nucleotides) under Marmota monax (woodchuck). Lineage: Eukaryota; Metazoa; Chordata; Mammalia; Rodentia; Sciuridae. The record is from RNAcentral.